UACGAAGGGGGCUAGCGUUGCUCGGAAUUACUGGGCGUAAAGCGCACGUAGGCGGUCUUUUCAGUCGGGGGUGAAAUCCUGGAGCUCAACUCCAGAACUGCCUUCGAUACUGGAAGACUUGAGUCCGGGAGAGGUGAGUGGAACUGCGAGUGUAGAGGUGAAAUUCGUAGAUAUUCGCAAGAACACCAGUGGCGAAGGCGGCGCACUGGCCCGGUACUGACGCUGAGGUGCGAAAGCGUGGGGAGCAAACAGG
This 253-nucleotide ribosomal RNA is filed under the name uncultured bacterium. RNAcentral describes it as "partial 16S ribosomal RNA". It matches the Rfam family "Bacterial small subunit ribosomal RNA", at positions 524 to 776 of the family's 1533-position model. The record is from RNAcentral.